UGGGGAAUAUUGCACAAUGGGCGAAAGCCUGAUGCAGCAACGCCGCGUGAGUGAUGAAGGUCUUCGGAUUGUAAAGCUCUGUCUUUUGGGACGAUAAUGACGGUACCAAAGGAGGAAGCCACGGCUAACUACGUGCCAGCAGCCGCGGUAAUACGUAGGUGGCGAGCGUUGUCCGGAUUUACUGGGCGUAAAGGGUGCGUAGGCGGAUGUUUAAGUGAGAUGUGAAAUACCCGGGCUUAACUU
Molecule: ribosomal RNA, 243 nt
Filed under: uncultured bacterium
Lineage: Bacteria
Description: partial 16S ribosomal RNA
Rfam family: Bacterial small subunit ribosomal RNA
Source: RNAcentral